This is a long non-coding RNA of Tupaia belangeri chinensis (Chinese tree shrew), 1032 nucleotides long. RefSeq lists it as uncharacterized. Lineage: Eukaryota; Metazoa; Chordata; Mammalia; Scandentia; Tupaiidae. The transcript has 3 exons. The record is from RefSeq and is a predicted model, not a curated record.
CAUGUGAAAGUCCAGAACCCCAACCACCAUGCCACCUGCUGGCCCCCCACUGUCACCUUCUAUGGCUAAGAUCCCUACACAAAGACAGAUCCAGAGCACUCUUCCUGACAAAACUUCUCCGAAUUACCCCUUUGCCAGAGGCAUUCUCAGAUUUUGCCCUUCCCUGUCACCUCAACCUUGUCCAAGAAAUGUAGUCUUUGCUGUGCAGACUUCAAAACUCCUCCAAAACCAACAAGACUUCAAAAGGGCUUCAAGACCAAAUAAGCACACCAUUGUCAGCUAAGGUUUGACCUACAGAUUGGUUUAUGCUGGCUCAAGGUUCAUUAAAGAUAAAUGGGAUUACAUGAUUAAGCAUGAACAAUGCUGCUUACAGCUUUUGGGUAGGUGUAAGUGCUGACAGGCCUUAGGUAAACACAGUGAAGGAUGAGUUGCAAUUGCAGAGGCUGUUAGCCUAAGUUACGGCCACCUGUUGCUGGCACUUCUUUCAAGAUGACUGUUUUCUGUAACUUUUUCAAAAAGAAACCUCCAGAGACCCAGCGGUUUAGGAACAAAGACCUGAGACUUUAUUUCAUCUGUGUUUCUACCCGGUCUGCACAAUUGCUGGAGAGGCUAGACUGUCAAAACACCGCUUCCACACACAAAAAAGUGUCCAGCUGUGCAGAUCCUGACAAGAGGCACCCAACUGGGGCCUGAGUGCAGGAAAACAGCAAAGGAUCAGGCAAGGGGACACUCCCGAGUUCAGCCAGAGGCAACAGACGAAGAAUAUGGAACACUUAGCUUACCCAUGCUGCCACUUCAAGACAAGAGAAAUUUCCAGAGGGCCUUACAGAAGAUAGUGGGACAACAGCCGUUCUCUCCGGAUUGAUUUUGCUAACCUGACUUCUGCCCUCAUCCCCCUUCCAGUGACUGUGUCAUCAGUGCCAUGUAAAGAUCAUUUGUUUGGAGUAUGGACUAUAAGGAUAUAUUUGUUAUUGGGGCCAGCAGAUGGCAUAGUGGUUAUGGCACUGGGCUCUCACAUGGCCAACUGCAGUU